RNAcentral lists this ribosomal RNA (253 nucleotides) under uncultured bacterium. RNAcentral describes it as "partial 16S ribosomal RNA". It matches the Rfam family "Bacterial small subunit ribosomal RNA", at positions 524 to 776 of the family's 1533-position model. The record is from RNAcentral.
UACGGAGGGUGCAAGCGUUAUCCGGAUUCACUGGGUUUAAAGGGUGCGUAGGCGGGCAGGUAAGUCCGUGGUGAAAUCUCUGAGCUUAACUCAGAAACUGCCAUGGAUACUAUUUGUCUUGAAUGUUGUGGAGGUAAGCGGAAUAUGUCAUGUAGCGGUGAAAUGCUUAGAUAUGACAUAGAACACCAAUUGCGAAGGCAGCUUACUACACGAUCAUUGACACUGAGGCACGAAAGCGUGGGGAGCAAACAGG